This 256-nucleotide unclassified non-coding RNA is filed under the name Hevea brasiliensis (rubber tree). The record is from RNAcentral. Lineage: Eukaryota; Viridiplantae; Streptophyta; Magnoliopsida; Malpighiales; Euphorbiaceae.
CACAUACUGCCCUUCUAAGUCUCUGCCCCACUUCAUGUCUUCCUUCUUGUCAAUAUUUUGGGUUCAAACCUACUGGUUUUUUCAGAUCACCUACCUAGGGUUAGUUGUUUGUCUCACCGCCUGUCCCUAAGGACGUCUAGGCCACCAACCGGCCAGCCAUCAAGAUCCCGUCAUUAGACCUCCAACGAAUGGCCCCCACGCGCCACUUUUGUUUUUCUGCCUUAUUUCACAUCCCGGCAAUUGAAAGUACGUGCGG